Molecule: microRNA precursor, 168 nt
Filed under: Helianthus petiolaris
Lineage: Eukaryota; Viridiplantae; Streptophyta; Magnoliopsida; Asterales; Asteraceae
Description: miR162a stem-loop (hpe-MIR162a)
Gene: hpe-MIR162a
Rfam family: MIR162_1 microRNA precursor family (bases 15-142)
Source: miRBase by way of RNAcentral
UCAUUUGUGUUCCGUAGAGGAUCACUGGAUUCAGCGGUUCAUCGAUCUGUUCCAUAAUCCUAAUGAUUAAAUGUUCAUACGACGAUUGAGAGAGGUGGGAAAUGGAAUCGAUCGAUAAACCUCUGCAUCCAGUGUUCUUCCUGCUUAGCACGAUCUUGUUUGUGAUUC